GUCCAGCGUGACCACCACCGCGGUCUUGCGCAGGGGGCGCCCGAACCUUUUGCGCAGUGGCCACAGGCAGAAGUUUCUGAGCAGGUGGAUUCCUUACCACUGAGCCACCAGAGGAAGCCCUGAAGGGACCCAGAAGUGAGUGAAUCUCUCUGGUGGUUGGAAGAUAUGCAAAGAGUGAAAGAAUGCUUCCAGAAUCCUGCCUUGGUUUUGAUUGCUUUGCUUUCGUAUGGUAUGUCUAUUUUUGCAAAAUGUUUCAUGACUAAUUUCGGUAAGUGAUAUUUAUCUGUACAGCACUGGAUUUACCUAAACUCAACCUUCCCAGACACAUACAUAAACCCUGAGGCUCUGAUUCUAAAAUAAUAGCAACUGAAUCCCUCCCAAGGUGAGAUGGCCUUGCAUUUAGGUGAUGCUGUGAGUUUUAUCCUGACCUGGCUCAUAGGAGACUGAAUUUCUUGAGAAUGGCCCAGGGACUUUCAAUAUUAAAAAAAAAAAAAGAAUCCUCCUGUCUUUUAUUUAUAUCUGACUUUGUACAUCUAAUAUUCCUGUGGGGAAAGACAGCAAGCUGUACAUUUUCUGUUCUCUCAUAAACUUUUUUGAAAACAUCUAGGAUUUAUGCAGCUCCAAGAAUCAGCUGGGUAAAAUAUAGACCAAACUCUGGUUUGGAGAAUAAAGGAAAUAUGAGAAGAGAAAAGCUUUGGGAGCGGAGGACAAGAAUUACGAUUGCCUCCGAGAUAUUGGAACAGAGACCAUGCAUCUUCCAUUUCCAGACCCUGUAAGGACGGUCCUGGCAACCUGGAGGCUGGAUGCCUGGACUAGGGACAAAUGGACAUCGGGCAGGUUUUCAGCUCUGACACAUACUACUUAGGUAACCUUGGACAAGUUACUUGACCUCUCUGAGCCUCAAUUUCCCUAUUAGGAAAAUAAGAAUCAAGUGUUGACCAAGAUAAUAUGUUAAACACAGUCCGUGACACAGAGAAAGCAUCACAAUUAAGCAUCACAAUUCCUGUUAGGUAUUACUCUCACCAAGGGUCAUCCACCUUCACACCAUGUGCCAUUGCCACACUUUCCCUAGUUUCACACAAUUCUCAUCCUUUCUUCGAUCUUUUGAUAUCUGGUAGCCAGGAGUUUUGACAGGUCCCAGACGGCCAAGUAGAGCAAUGGUGGGUCCAAGUCUUUAAAAUAUGUCUGAAUAUAAAAUUUGACCACUGGUUACAUGCAGAAAAGUGCCCAUGAAGGUGGACCAUAGUGAUGGAUGAGAUGUAGGAGAGGCAUCAUAGGGAUGGACACCAGGUGAGUUUUCCCCAGCUUCACUCUCCACCAGCAAGAGGACAAAAGGCCCACAUGACCCCUGGGUGGGCUGGACCUGGCCACAGGCUGCCGACAACCAGUUCUGUCUGUGUGACCUAGGACAACAUUCCCAGCAGAGAGCUGUCAACAUUGCCUCGGUACACAGACCUGUGACC
Molecule: non-coding RNA, 1463 nt
Organism: Odocoileus virginianus texanus
Lineage: Eukaryota; Metazoa; Chordata; Mammalia; Artiodactyla; Cervidae
Source: RefSeq, a predicted model, not a curated record